UGGGGAAUAUUGGACAAUGGGCGAAAGCCUGAUCCAGCCAUGCCGCGUGUGUGAAGAAGGUCUUCGGAUUGUAAAGCACUUUAAGUUGGGAGGAAGGGCAUUAACCUAAUACGUUAGUGUUUUGACGUUACCGACAGAAUAAGCACCGGCUAACUCUGUGCCAGCAGCCGCGGUAAUACAGAGGGUGCAAGCGUUAAUCGGAAUUACUGGGCGUAAAGCGCGCGUAGGUUGUUUGGUAAGUUGGAUGUGAAAUCCCCGGGCUCAACCUGGGAACUGCAUUCAAAACUGACUGACUAGAGUAUGGUAGAGGGUGGUGGAAUUUCCUGUGUAGCGGUGAAAUGCGUAGAUAUAGGAAGGAACACCAGUGGCGAAGGCGACCACCUGGACUAAUACUGACACUGAGGUGCGAAAGCGUGGGGAGCAAACA
Molecule: ribosomal RNA, 427 nt
Filed under: uncultured bacterium
Lineage: Bacteria
Description: partial 16S ribosomal RNA
Rfam family: Bacterial small subunit ribosomal RNA
Source: RNAcentral